Molecule: ribosomal RNA, 1104 nt
Filed under: Salmonella enterica subsp. enterica serovar Infantis
Lineage: Bacteria; Pseudomonadati; Pseudomonadota; Gammaproteobacteria; Enterobacterales; Enterobacteriaceae
Description: partial 23S ribosomal RNA
Rfam family: Bacterial large subunit ribosomal RNA
Source: RNAcentral
AAUCCAUAGGUUAAUGAGGCGAACCGGGGGAACUGAAACAUCUAAGUACCCCGAGGAAAAGAAAUCAACCGAGAUUCCCCCAGUAGCGGCGAGCGAACGGGGAGGAGCCCAGAGCCUGAAUCAGCAUGUGUGUUAGUGGAAGCGUCUGGAAAGGCGCGCGAUACAGGGUGACAGCCCCGUACACAAAAGCGCAUGUGCUGUGAGCUCGAUGAGUAGGGCGGGACACGUGGUAUCCUGUCUGAAUAUGGGGGGACCAUCCUCCAAGGCUAAAUACUCCUGACUGACCGAUAGUGAACCAGUACCGUGAGGGAAAGGCGAAAAGAACCCCGGCGAGGGGAGUGAAAAAGAACCUGAAACCGUGUACGUACAAGCAGUGGGAGCACAGGUUUACCUGUGUGACUGCGUACCUUUUGUAUAAUGGGUCAGCGACUUAUAUUCUGUAGCAAGGUUAACCGUAUAGGGGAGCCGGAGGGAAACCGAGUCUUAACCGGGCGUUAAGUUGCAGGGUAUAGACCCGAAACCCGGUGAUCUAGCCAUGGGCAGGUUGAAGGUUGGGUAACACUAACUGGAGGACCGAACCGACUAAUGUUGAAAAAUUAGCGGAUGACCUGUGGCUGGGGGUGAAAGGCCAAUCAAACCGGGAGAUAGCUGGUUCUCCCCGAAAGCUAUUUAGGUAGCGCCUCGUGAAUUCAUCUCCGGGGGUAGAGCACUGUUUCGGCUAGGGGGCCAUCCCGGCUUACCAACCCGAUGCAAACUGCGAAUACCGGAGAAUGUUAUCACGGGAGACACACGGCGGGUGCUAACGUCCGUCGUGAAGAGGGAAACAACCCAGACCGCCAGCUAAGGUCCCAAAGUCAUGGUUAAGUGGGAAACGAUGUGGGAAGGCCCAGACAGCCAGGAUGUUGGCUUAGAAGCAGCCAUCAUUUAAAGAAAGCGUAAUAGCUCACUGGUCGAGUCGGCCUGCGCGGAAGAUGUAACGGGGCUAAACCAUGCACCGAAGCUGCGGCAGCGAACGUAUCACUUAAAGCGAUUCAGCGGGUUACGAUUGACGGAGCGAAGCGACGUCAAAGCGUAUACAAAGUCGAGUCGGUUUAAGGAUACGUU